RNAcentral lists this transfer RNA (53 nucleotides) under Draco blanfordii. RNAcentral describes it as "tRNA-Cys". The record is from RNAcentral. Lineage: Eukaryota; Metazoa; Chordata; Lepidosauria; Squamata; Agamidae.
AGGCCCAGGAACAAAAUUCAACUCCAAAUUUGCAAUUUGGAAACUGCUGGGCC